AUUGAACGCUGGCGGCAUGCUUUACACAUGCAAGUCGAACGGUAACAGGUCUUCGGAUGCUGACGAGUGGCGAACGGGUGAGUAAUGUAUCGGAACGUGCCCAGUAGUGGGGGAUAACUACUCGAAAGAGUGGCUAAUACCGCAUGAGAACUGAGGUUGAAAGUGGGGGACCGCAAGGCCUCACGCUACUGGAGCGGCCGAUAUCAGAUUAGGGUAGUUGGUGGGGUAAAGGCCUACCAAGCCUGCGAUCUGUAGCUGGUCUGAGAGGACGACCAGCCACACUGGGACUGAGACACGGCCCAGACUCCUACGGGAGGCAGCAGUGGGGAAUUUUGGACAAUGGGGGCAACCCUGAUCCAGCCAUGCCGCGUGAGUGAAGAAGGCCUCGGUU
RNAcentral lists this ribosomal RNA (391 nucleotides) under uncultured bacterium. RNAcentral describes it as "bacterial SSU rRNA". It matches the Rfam family "Bacterial small subunit ribosomal RNA", at positions 30 to 424 of the family's 1533-position model. The record is from RNAcentral.